This 253-nucleotide ribosomal RNA is filed under the name uncultured bacterium. RNAcentral's name for it is "partial 16S ribosomal RNA". It matches the Rfam family "Bacterial small subunit ribosomal RNA", at positions 524 to 776 of the family's 1533-position model. The record is from RNAcentral.
UACGGGGGGGGCAAGCGUUGUUCGGAAUUACUGGGCGUAAAGCGUGCGCAGGCGGUGAUGUAAGACAGUUGUGAAAUCCCCGGGCUCAACCUGGGAACUGCAUCUGUGACUGCAUUGCUGGAGUGCGGCAGAGGGGGAUGGAAUUCCGCGUGUAGCAGUGAAAUGCGUAGAUAUGCGGAGGAACACCGAUGGCGAAGGCAAUCCCCUGGGCCUGCACUGACGCUCAUGCACGAAAGCGUGGGGAGCAAACAGG